AAUACGGAGGGUGCAAACGUUGCUCGGAAUCAUUGGGCGUAAAGCGCACGUAGGUGGCCUGUUAAGUCGGGUGUGAAAUCCCUGGGCUCAACCCAGGAAGUGCACUCGAAACUGGCAGGCUUGAGUACUGAAGAGGGUCGCGGAAUUCCCGGUGUAGAGGUGAAAUUCGUAGAUAUCGGGAGGAACACCAGUGGCGAAGGCGGCGACCUGGGCAGAUACUGACACUGAGGUGCGAAAGCGUGGGGAGCAAACCGGA
Molecule: ribosomal RNA, 256 nt
Filed under: uncultured prokaryote
Description: partial 16S ribosomal RNA
Rfam family: Bacterial small subunit ribosomal RNA
Source: RNAcentral